This 629-nucleotide ribosomal RNA is filed under the name uncultured bacterium. RNAcentral describes it as "bacterial SSU rRNA". The stretch from base 1 to 535 matches the Rfam family "Bacterial small subunit ribosomal RNA", at positions 338 to 873 of the family's 1533-position model. The record is from RNAcentral.
CCUACGGGAGGCAGCAGUGAGGAAUAUUGGACAAUGGGCGCAAGCCUGAUCCAGCCAUGCCGCGUGCAGGAUGACGGUCCUAUGGAUUGUAAACUGCUUUUAUACGGGAAGAAACCCUGGCUCGUGAGCCAGAUUGACGGUACCGUAAGAAUAAGGAUCGGCUAACUCCGUGCCAGCAGCCGCGGUAAUACGGAGGAUCCAAGCGUUAUCCGGAAUCAUUGGGUUUAAAGGGUCCGUAGGCGGUUUAAUAAGUCAGUGGUGAAAGCCCAUCGCUCAACGGUGGAACGGCCAUUGAUACUGUUAGACUUGAAUUAUUAGGAAGUAACUAGAAUAUGUAGUGUAGCGGUGAAAUGCUUAGAGAUUACAUGGAAUACCAAUUGCGAAGGCAGGUUACUACUAAUUGAUUGACGCUGAUGGACGAAAGCGUGGGUAGCGAACAGGAUUAGAUACCCUGGUAGUCCACGCCGUAAACGAUGGAUACUAGCUGUUGGGAGUAAUCUCAGUGUGUAGACGAAGUAGUAGUAAGUAUACCACCGUACGGGUAGGUACGUUACGUCGAAGAAGUAGUAAACGUUAAAGUAAGUAGUAGUACGUGUAGAGAGACGACGACGACGACGAGGAGGAGGAGG